UUUGGUUUAAGUCAAGUUUUUAAGUGCUGCCUGUCACAGAAAGCAGCCUUCUUCUGCUCGCCCCUUCGGGAUCCCUGGGCGCACCCUCACCUCACAACACCGCGCCGCCCCGGGGAUCCUCCGCCGCACAGACCCCCGCCGCCUCCGGACACCCGCCUAGCUGGAGACGGGGACCCCCCCAGCCCAAACUGAAGGCGGCUGGAAGGAAGGGAAUCAGCCUAAUUCAGCCGCCCCCGAUAAUGGCACGGGGAACAUGCAGGAAACCAGUUUUCCUUCUGACUGCCUACAGACCAUGAGGAAAUUCUACUCUGCUCCUUACCAAGCAUUCCAGGCUUUGCUACUUGCAUCAGUGAUGGCUUGGUGUAGAAAGAAAAGCCAACAAGCUCCAGAGUAUUCACCAGAAAUUCUGCCCUACUCAAGUCAGGAUGCAAUACUUGCCUUAGUAAUUUUCUCCCUCUUGUCCUUUCUGCCCAAUGUGAAUCUACAAUGUUUGAAGGAUGCAAGCCCUGUGUAUGAACAGGAGGCAACCUCUUGUUUGUGUGAUGAGAAACAUAAUUUUGAGGAACUUGGUAGGUUCUUGAAAAGACAGAAUGGAAACAGAAUCUCAUUUCCUCUUUCUUUGGCAUCCAUUUUUGGUUACUUAUUAAUUCUAAGGAAAGAGUAACAUUGGAGAAAAGCAUUAAAUGGGAGACACUCAACACUGGCUUUUCUUCUGUAACUCUGAAGUGCAAUGGUUAAUUGAUGGCCAGACCUGUGAAUGUGACUAUAUGACUGAGAUGCGUAGGGGUAAUGACAUGAGUUUGGAAAACUACUUUCAGAGGCAAAUAAAGAGUAUUACAUACAUUGCA
RNAcentral lists this long non-coding RNA (848 nucleotides) under Calidris pygmaea (Spoon-billed sandpiper). Its description in RNAcentral is "lncRNA (ENSCPGG00000013932.1)". Lineage: Eukaryota; Metazoa; Chordata; Aves; Charadriiformes; Scolopacidae. The record is from RNAcentral.